GCGGGUCGGGCCGUUCUUGUUAAGGCCGUCCUCACCGCUAUUGCCAUAUAUCACCUGACGCCUCUCGACAUCCCGGUCGAGGUUCUGAAGAAAAUUGAUAGUCUACGGUGCGCCUAUCUUUGGGCGGGCACAGAUAUUGUUUCCGGUGGAAAAUGCAAAAUAAACUGGGACCUUGUUUGCAAG
RNAcentral lists this ribosomal RNA (183 nucleotides) under Triticum aestivum (bread wheat). RNAcentral's name for it is "partial small subunit ribosomal RNA". Lineage: Eukaryota; Viridiplantae; Streptophyta; Magnoliopsida; Poales; Poaceae. The record is from RNAcentral.